UACAGAGGGGGCAGGCGUUAUUCGGAAUUAUUGGGCGUAAAGGGCGCGUAGGCGGCCUGGCAAGUGACGGGUGAAAUCCCUCGGCUUAACCGAGGAACUGCCUGUCAGACUGCUUGGCUUGAGACCGGGAGAGGUGAGUGGAAUUCCCAGUGUAGCGGUGAAAUGCGUAGAUAUUGGGAGGAACACCAGUGGCGAAGGCGGCUCACUGGACCGGAACUGACGCUGAGGCGCGAAAGCGUGGGGAGCAAACAGG
This 253-nucleotide ribosomal RNA is filed under the name uncultured bacterium. RNAcentral describes it as "partial 16S ribosomal RNA". It matches the Rfam family "Bacterial small subunit ribosomal RNA", at positions 524 to 776 of the family's 1533-position model. The record is from RNAcentral.